UACAGAGGGUGCAAGCGUUAAUCGGAAUUACUGGGCGUAAAGGGUGCGUAGGUGGUUGUAUAAGUUGGGUGUGAAAGUCCUGGGCUUAACCUGGGGAUUGCGCUCAAUACUGUAGAGCUAGAGUACUGUAGAGGGAGGUGGAAUUUCCAGUGUAGCGGUGAAAUGCGUAGAUAUUGGAAGGAACAUCAGUGGCGAAGGCGACUUUCUGGACAGAUACUGACACUGAGGCACGAAAGCGUGGGUAGCAAACAGG
This 253-nucleotide ribosomal RNA is filed under the name uncultured bacterium. RNAcentral describes it as "partial 16S ribosomal RNA". It matches the Rfam family "Bacterial small subunit ribosomal RNA", at positions 524 to 776 of the family's 1533-position model. The record is from RNAcentral.